This 468-nucleotide ribosomal RNA is filed under the name uncultured bacterium. RNAcentral's name for it is "partial 16S ribosomal RNA". It matches the Rfam family "Bacterial small subunit ribosomal RNA", at positions 28 to 507 of the family's 1533-position model. The record is from RNAcentral.
GACGAACGCUGGCGGCGUGCUUAACACAUGCAAGUCGAACGGAAAGGCCCUGCUUUUGUGGGGUGCUCGAGUGGCGAACGGGUGAGUAACACGUGAGUAACCUGCCCUUGACUUUGGGAUAACUUCAGGAAACUGGGGCUAAUACCGGAUAGGAGCUCCUGCUGCAUGGUGGGGGUUGGAAAGUUUCGGCGGUUGGGGAUGGACUCGCGGCUCAUCAGCUUGUUGGUGGGGUAGUGGCUUACCAAGGCUUUGACGGGUAGCCGGCCUGAGAGGGUGACCGGCCACAUUGGGACUGAGAUACGGCCCAGACCCCUACGGGAGGCAGCAGUGGGGAAUAUUGCACAAUGGGCGGAAGCCUGAUGCAGCAACGCCGCGUGCGGGAUGACGGCCUUCGGGUUGUAAACCGCUUUCGCCUGUGACGAAGCGUGAGUGACGGUAAUGGGUAAAGAAGCACCGGCUAACUACGUG